UGGGGAAUUUUGGACAAUGGGCGCAAGCGUGAUCCAGCCAUGCCGCGUGUCUGAAGAAGGCCUUCGGGUUGUAAAGGACUUUUGUCAGGGAAGAAAAGGCUGUUGCUAAUAUCGACAGCUGAUGACGGUACCUGAAGAAUAAGCACCGGCUAACUACGUGCCAGCAGCCGCGGUAAUACGUAGGGUGCGAGCGUUAAUCGGAAUUACUGGGCGUAAAGCGAGCGCAGACGGUUACUUAAGCAGGAUGUGAAAUCCCCGGGCUCAACCUGGGAACUGCGUUCUGAACUGGGUGACUAGAGUGUGUCAGAGGGAGGUAGAAUUCCACGUGUAGCAGUGAAAUGCGUAGAGAUGUGGAGGAAUACCGAUGGCGAAGGCAGCCUCCAGGGAUAACACUGACGUUCAUGCUCGAAAGCGUGGGUAGCAAACAGGAUUAGAUACCCUGGUAGUCCACGCCCUAAACGAUGUCAAUUAGCUGUUGGGCAACUUGAUUGCUUAGUAGCGUAGCUAACGCGUGAAAUUGACCGCCUGGGGAGUACGGUCGCAAGAUUA
Molecule: ribosomal RNA, 549 nt
Filed under: uncultured bacterium
Lineage: Bacteria
Description: bacterial SSU rRNA
Rfam family: Bacterial small subunit ribosomal RNA
Source: RNAcentral